AUUGAUGCGCAGCUACCAUGCAGUCGACGAAGUCUUCGGACUUAGUGGCAGACGGGUGAGUAACGCGUGGGAAUCUACCCAGUUCUCUGGAAUAACUGAUGGAAACGUCAGCUAAUACCGGAUACGCCCUUUUGGGGAAAGAUUUAUCGGGAUUGGAUGAGCCCGCGUAAGAUUAGCUAGUUGGUGGGGUAAUGGCCUACCAAGGCGACGAUCUUUAGCUGGUCUGAGAGGAUGAUCAGCCACACUGGGACUGAGACACGGCCCAGACUCCUACGGGAGGCAGCAGUGGGGAAUAUUGGACAAUGGGGGCAACCCUGAUCCAGCCAUGCCGCGUGAGUGAUGAAGGCCUUAGGGUUGUAAAGCUCUUUCACCGGUGAAGAUAAUGACGGUAACCGGAGAAGAAGCCCCGGCUAACUUCGUGCCAGCAGCCGCGGUAAUACGAAGGGGGCUAGCGUUGUUCGGAAUUACUGGGCGUAAAGCGCACGUAGGCGGAUAUUUAAGUCAGGGGUGAAAA
RNAcentral lists this ribosomal RNA (514 nucleotides) under Pelagibacterium halotolerans. Its description in RNAcentral is "bacterial SSU rRNA". It matches the Rfam family "Bacterial small subunit ribosomal RNA", at positions 38 to 600 of the family's 1533-position model. The record is from RNAcentral. Lineage: Bacteria; Pseudomonadati; Pseudomonadota; Alphaproteobacteria; Hyphomicrobiales; Devosiaceae.